CUUUUUUGCUAGUUCCGCAUGAUGAAGACUGAAUAUUACUUAUAAUACCGUCAUUUCUUCUUGUACUGAUGGAAAAGGAAAUGUUUUAGGUUUGCUUUUGUCUGGUACAUCCAGAGUCAACAGCCUCUUGUGUAUGUAAUGCCUUCUAUCGUAAAGAACAGUGUCAAUAUUUAGCUACUUUCCUCCAUGUGUAAAUAAAAGAACUUGUAAUCCUCUAUUUUUUUCUUCCCAUUCUGCUUGAGAAGGCUAAUUUUCAAAGUCUGUUUCUUCUGGUGUUCUUUGAGACUUUCCCCCCACCUCUAAGUAUUUGCAUUUGAAAUGUUAUUUGGGGGACUGAAAAAUAUUUCUUCUGUUUGCUUUCCAAAUAAUGGAACUGACUCAGAAAAAGAGUGCUGGCAUUAGCUGGAAACUCUGCUAAGUUACAAAAUCAGACGUGAUUUGUACAGCCUUGAAGUUUAGAGUUGCUUCUGGAAAUGCAUACCGUGUACCUGCCAACUCAGAUAAACGGAGACUUGUUAACGUCACUGCUGGUGGAAUAUCCUCAGUAUAUGAAGACAGAGAAAAGAAAGGAGGCCAGUGACAGCCAGUUGGGCUGCUCUAUAGUCAUCAUUCAAGAUUUGCUCCUUUGUGGGACCGAUUUUUGGACAACAGACCUUUCUGCUGGUGGUGUCUUUCGUGGUUGAAGAAGCAGUAAUGAGACAAAGGUCACAUGACUCGAUGGCAAGCAUCUCCAUUUGCUUUCUUCAGUAGGAUUAACUGCUGAUAAUUAUGGAAAGGAAGAGGUUGCAAGGAGGACAUCUUUUAUUUCUCAAUUGUUCCCAUUUGAUUUUUGAGGCAUGGAUAAACAGAUCUUUUGGAUAGGAAUAAAGAAGCAGAAAGAAUAUGUGAUUUUGUUAUG
RNAcentral lists this long non-coding RNA (898 nucleotides) under Mus spicilegus (steppe mouse). RNAcentral's name for it is "lncRNA (ENSMSIG00000011341.1)". Lineage: Eukaryota; Metazoa; Chordata; Mammalia; Rodentia; Muridae. The record is from RNAcentral.